Long non-coding RNA from Heterocephalus glaber (naked mole-rat), 1020 nucleotides. NCBI's taxonomy places the organism in Eukaryota, Metazoa, Chordata, Mammalia, Rodentia, Bathyergidae. The record is from Ensembl.
AACAGAAUGGGCUGCCAAGUAGUAGUACCGUGUAAAACUCAGGAUACUGGGAGUAAAAUAAUUUGCACUCUUUCAAGAGAAAGGAAACUGUCCAUUUUCUGUCUCUCGCUUUAGAGGUCGCUUGCUUUAGAACUGUAAAUUAAUUCAUCGUGUUGGAAUUCCAGGUUGUGAGAAUACCUGAAAAACAAAUUUAGAAUGCAGUGAUUGCUGCCUAUCCCUGUAUGUUUUCAUAGUGCUGUUCUCUAUAACGGUUUUACUUUCUGAAUUUUCUCCCAUUAGUAACAAGUGUAAGAAUGCGACCCUCCAGCCACUGUCUCCCUGUGUUCCUCCUCUGACCGGACCCCCGCCCGCCCCCAUCGCCUACUGCGCCUCGUCAUCAUCGCAGUUUCACCUUGGUUGCACACCAGAGCGCAGCAGAGGCACCUUGCAACAAAACGAAAGAUAACAGACAGCAUAAAUACCUGAAACUUCCCCUUUCCUACUUCAGGAAUAGCCAGUGGAGCAAAUAAGGCUAAAGUUCAAGAACCGCUGGACUAAAGCAGCAAUUGACAGAUGAGGGGAUUGAAGCUGUGGCUAAGUUGAACCUACCUGGUUAAGUGAUCUAUCUAAGGCCUCUCAUACCAGAAGUGCUUCUGGGGAAGAGGAAAGUACAUCACUAAGAAGAAAAAUGUCUCUCGUGUGCUAUUCUGGGGGAGCCCCAAGGACUUUAAGAAAUGCAAGAAUUGUGCUGCAGGCCCAAACUUAGAAACUGAAGGAAAGUGUAUACCAUAUUCCAAUUAUACUGCUUCAUGGCCUUGCAUAGCUGCUUUGAAGGACGGAUCUUUAAAGAUUUAUAAACUUGGGUGGGUGGAUGGGUAGGGGAAAGGACACCCACGCUUUCUUCCUGCUUCAAGCAUCCCAGCUCUCACUCUCUUUUUUCUCUAGUUUUGCAGCUCAAAAGCCCUGGAACAACUGCAGCUGGGUGAGUGUAAUAAACAGGUACCUGAGAAAAGGGGUCAAGUUCAAUAUGAUGUUUGCUGC